This is a long non-coding RNA of Pipra filicauda (Wire-tailed manakin), 348 nucleotides long. RefSeq lists it as uncharacterized. NCBI's taxonomy places the organism in Eukaryota, Metazoa, Chordata, Aves, Passeriformes, Pipridae. The record is from RefSeq and is a predicted model, not a curated record. The transcript is spliced from 3 exons.
CCUGCCUCACAAAGGAUGGGCUCCCAGUGCCCCCCAGGCUGCCUCGGUGCCGUGCCCCACCUCGACCAGGGACAAGCUCUUACCUAAUGCACUCUGGCUUCAUCAGAUUAGACACCUCUCGUCCCGGUGUUGUCGUGUUUUCAAAUGGCUUCAAUCAGCACCUCCCAGGCUCUGGUUAUUUUCGGAUACAAUAAAGCUAAACCUCAUCCAGGCUGACAUCGUCCGUGGUUACACACGGCUCAGGAGGAAGAGCUCAGCAACAGCAACCGGGUUUCUAAUGAUCUUGUCAUCGAGAACAGCACAGAGAGAUAAAUGAAAGAGUGAGGGAAUAGCCAAGAUCAAAACUCA